AAAAAAAAAAAAUUUUCACUUUGCCGACCGACCGAGGAGAAGUGUCCCUCUCGGGGAAAGAGACACGAAAGUGGUGCUCGGCGACCAUUUUGCCGUCGAAAUCCCCGUACUCGGGCAAAACCGACAGAAUGUGCCAAGCGACCUUUCAGACAUACCUACUUUUCAUAAUUGUGUGCUAAGCGACGUUCAGACAUACCUACUUUUAAUACACAUCGCUCCGAUACGGGCUAAUGUUAAAUUUAGGGAAAUGUGCAAAGCGGCUUUGAGACAUACCAACAUUUUAUAAUUUUUCCCUUACUAUGGGAGAGGCAGUUGGCUGGUCCUCAGUCAAUUUGAGGUGAAGUGUCGUUUCGAUGGUGUGGUGCGAGUCGGAUUUCUGCGAGUGCGGUAAAUUACCUUCUACGUAUCCCUCCGUCGUCUUCAUUUCCCUUUCGGUCUCUUGGUUGGUCGUCGGUCGGGUCGGUAUCCUUGGUUUGGAGAGAGAGAAGAGAGAGAGAGAGAGGAGGGGUGUUUCGGCGGGUGCUUGUGUGGCGAUAGCGGGACGUCGGUAUUGUUCCGGGAGAGGCUUACCUUGUGCGGUGGAUCUUCGCUUGGGUGUGUUGCGUGUUGCCUUCUAGGGUGUCUAGGCCAGUUACCAAUGCGGAUGGGCCGUUGCUCAGCCGCGGUUCCUGCUGCGGGCUCUAGUUGGCGGACGUGGCUAUCUUCGGCUGGGAUUCGUCUCCGUGCUUUGAUUCGUUCACUCCCCGACUUGCUGGUUUCUCGCGCUAUAUCGCUGCCGCGGUUCUUCGUCGUACCUUCUUCACUCGCUCGCUCCAUCUAUUUUAGAAAGGCAACGAAGCGGUCGGAAGGCGGGGGAACGUUUGUACCGUUUUCUCGUCCAGUCACCGCGUACCUUUUGCACGAUCCAAGGUUAGAUGGAGACGGUGGGACGGUGGAGGUUAGCGUAGCAAGUUGCGCUCUCUCGACACUGUCCGUGGUCGCCGGUGGUCGAAGCAAGCUGAGGUAGAUUAGUUUCGGCCGAGUUUGCCUCUUCUGCCGGUGGAAACGAAAUGUUCCAGUGUACGCCUACACAGCGGGACAGACUGGCUGGUCCGAUAUUUUAAAAGCGAAUCUACAACUCUCGGUCUCCCGGUAUCGCCUCGGCAGCGUCACAGUGUACCCRGGUUCGUGUCWCUCGUGGGCACGGGUCCGGCGCUUGUCGUUUAUGCCUUGGCGUUCACCCUUGGUGUUGGAGACCGUUUUAAGCCGCAGACGCCCCUUGGCCCGUACGAGAGACGAUCUUUUCUCGUGUGGAAGAAGGGGGAAGUAGCCAAUGGCCAGUCUGCCUCUUGCCGAUCUUUCGAGCUUUCGCCGGAGUUUAAAGGGAGUUUCGGCUCCAGUUGCUUCGACGGAGGCCUCGACGGAACGACGUUUGUGAACGAGGCCGCUCGGAGGUGUUGGUUCCCCUGUUCCGAUGCCACCGACGGUCGCCUCUUCAGAGCCACUGUAGCUGACCGUCGCGCUUUAACGUGCCACUAGCAACUUUUCGUCGUCUCCGGGCGGCGAAGGGGAACCUGGGGCCUUCUGCGAACGGCGCCUUUGGUUUUAAACUCUGUCGAGCGUUUCUCGUGGUUUCUCCGAGAGAAAAGAAGGCUAUCU
This 1638-nucleotide unclassified non-coding RNA is filed under the name Lottia digitalis (California fingered limpet). Its description in RNAcentral is "external transcribed spacer 1". The record is from RNAcentral. Lineage: Eukaryota; Metazoa; Mollusca; Gastropoda; Lottiidae.